GACGAACGCUGGCGGCGUGCUUAACACAUGCAAGUCGAACGGAAAGGCCCUGCUUUUGUGGGGUGCUCGAGUGGCGAACGGGUGAGUAACACGUGAGUAACCUGCCCUUGACUUUGGGAUAACUUCAGGAAACUGGGGCUAAUACCGGAUAGGAGCUCCUGCUGCAUGGUGGGGGUUGGAAAGUUUCGGCGGUUGGGGAUGGACUCGCGGCUUAUCAGCUUGUUGGUGGGGUAGUGGCUUACCAAGGCUUUGACGGGUAGCCGGCCUGAGAGGGUGACCGGCCACAUUGGGACGAAGAUACGGCACAGACUCCUACGGGAGGCAGCAGUGGGGAAUAUUGCACAAUGGGCGGAAGCCUGAUGCAGCAACGCCGCGUGCGGGAUGACGGCGUUCGGGUUGUAAACCGCUUUCGCCGGUGACGAAGCGUGAGUGACGGUAAUGGGUAAAGAAGCACCGGCUAACUACGUG
RNAcentral lists this ribosomal RNA (468 nucleotides) under uncultured bacterium. RNAcentral describes it as "partial 16S ribosomal RNA". It matches the Rfam family "Bacterial small subunit ribosomal RNA", at positions 28 to 507 of the family's 1533-position model. The record is from RNAcentral.